AAAAUUAGAGUGUUCAAAGCAGGCAGAUCCAAUUUUCUGCCACCGAAUACAUUAGCAUGGGAUAAUGGAAUAGGACCCUGUCCUCCUAUUUUCAGUUGGUUUUGGCAGCGCGAGGACUAGGGUAAUGAUUAAUAGGGAUAGUUGGGGGCAUUAAUAUUUAAUUGUCAGAGGUGAAAUUCUUGGAUUUAUGAAAGAUUAACUUCUGCGAAAGCAUCUGCCAAGGAUGUUUUCAUUAAUCAAGAACGAAAGUUAGGGGAUCGAAGACGAUCAGAUACCGUCGUAGUCUUAACCAUAAACGAUGCCGACCAGCGAUUAGGAGACGUUGAAUACAAAACACCACCAUCGGUGCGGUCGUCCUUGGCGUCGGUCUUUCGGGGCCGGCGCGGGGGCGGCUUAG
This 397-nucleotide ribosomal RNA is filed under the name Acanthamoeba sp. RNAcentral describes it as "SSU rRNA". It matches the Rfam family "Eukaryotic small subunit ribosomal RNA", at positions 762 to 1083 of the family's 1831-position model. The record is from RNAcentral. Lineage: Eukaryota; Discosea; Longamoebia; Acanthamoebidae.